UUCCUUAGCAUUUAUUUUGUGAUAUUGUUAGCGAUUUUUCUUUUUCGAUGAGAAAGAAGUCAAAUUAUACUGCCCAUUUGAGAACACAGCCGCAAAACCAGGUGAUAGAUCCUUAAGUCUAAAAACUCUAAACCGAGGGUUAGACAAAGAAAGCCCGCCAAUCUACAUGAAUGAGAUAAUGUUGUGUAUUACAAAGAGAAUUAUGUAAAGGAAGUCUCCCUCUUUUAUGUGGGCUUGGUGUCUAUGUAUUUUUUCGUUUUUUUUCCUCAGUAAAAGUUGUUUUCGUUAAAAGAAAGAAUAAUUGCAAUGGAUAGUACUUGUAGAGUUAAUAAUUAGGUUUAUAAACUUCUAUUAAUGAUAUGACCCAUCACUGAUGGACUCCUACUACUGGUAUGGUCUAUUAUCGAUAGAUUUUAAGAGUUAAAUCUAAAUUUUGUUAUAUUUGCGUUGUGCUAUAUAUAUGUGCCUGAAGAACUCUGGAGGACUCAUCUAGGGCCAGCUGCCUGUUCCUUUUGUUCCAAAUAGAUCAUAUUUGUGAAAUCAUUAGAACCCAAAUUACAUCCGACACCGUGCCCUGACAAAUGGAAUCAAUAUACUCUGGGUUAAUGGGUUUCAUUUCCAUUCUGAGUGUUGAUUUUAUGGAAUCAAUCUAUAUUUCCUUAAUUACUUAAUAGAGAUACAAGCCUAUAUAUAACCAUAGAGAAAUACACUUAAGGAAAUAAUAUCAAAUAAUAUCUCCAGAAUAAUAUCUCCUAAGAAUAAUAUCUCCUAAGAAUAAUAUCUCCUAAGAAUAAUCUAAUUAUAUUAAUACCCUCCCUCAAACUCAAGGUUGAAAUCACAAACUUGAGUUUGCUAAGAACUAAGAAAAGAAACAAUAUAUCUAGAAUAGAAUAAAAAACCCGAAGAACAAACACACAAAGAACUUCUAGGCUAAAACAAACCCACGAAGAGCGAAACGAAGAACUUCUGGGAUAGAAACAUAGAUCCUCGUAUAGAGAUCUAUAACAGAACCUAGGAAGAACGAAACAAGAACUCCGGGGGCAAAAUGAAAGAGCAAAACUGAAGCAAAGUAGAAUCAAAUCAGGAUGAAAACGUGGUCUGAAUUGGGCAGGAGCGUUUCGUCAUCAGAAUGGAACUGAACGAACUAAACUAAAGCAAGUCAGAAUCAAACUGAACAGGAAAUCUGGAUGAACAGAACGAAAACUGAAGAGAACUGAGAGGUUGAGUAGAUAGAGAACUUUGCGGCGUUCUUCGCAAAAAGAGAAGAUGCGUUUCAUGACGGCGAGCUUCACAAAUGGAGAGCGGACAAAGCCGAACCUGUGCGUCGUCGGCUGUGAGUGGAGCGGAGCGGUGGAUCAUGGAUCUGAACAAAGAUUCACCCUCUUCAGGAUCGGGAGUCUUCAAUCUAAAGAGAUUGUCUGGUACGAGUAAAGGGCGGCGGCGGCAGGUCGGUCUGAUCUUGAACAGUAUGAUUCGAAGGCGAAAGAUGAAAUAAAACACGGAUCUGGAAGUCGAAGACACGAACAGAGAUGCACGAACAAAUCGGUGCUUGCAAUGUGCGCACAAGUAGAUCUAAGUGAGGACGAAUGGAGAGCGGAUAUGGGUCGAGAGUGCGACGAACUGGGUCGAGAGUGCGACGAACUGGGUGGAUGGAAGGAGCAGUGAUGGCAGAAGGAGUAGUGGCGGCGGCAGCAGAAUCAGAGACGAGGAUUUUGAUCUAGGAGGCAGAGCGAAUUACUUGGAGACAUGAUGUGUAUUGAUUACUGAUGGGUAUGGCUCUGCCUCCGUCGACGAAUCAACGGAGGCAGACGAGCGGGGAUGUGACGGCUAGAAUACAAGGAGACUAAAACCCUAUAGCUCUGAUACCAUGUUGAUUUUAUGGAAUCAAUCUAUAUUUCCUUAAUUACUUAAUAGAGAUACAAGCCUAUAUAUAACCAUAGAGAAAUACACUUAAGGAAAUAAUAUCAAAUAAUAUCUCCAGAAUAAUAUCUCCUAAGAAUAAUAUCUCCUAAGAAUAAUAUCUCCUAAGAAUAAUCUAAUUAUAUUAAUACUGAGAAUAUUUCUAUUUCAGUUGAUCGAUGCUAUAUUUGUAGCACACAAGUUGUUGGAUAUCAUUUCUACUCUUGGCUCUGAGAAUGGGUAUAUUGUGUGUUGAUUUCUCUAUGGCUCACAGGAUGUGGAGAGAAAUCAGACUUCUGGCUGCAUCAAAACCUGUUGUUGCAUCCAUGGCUGAUGUGGCUGCCAGUGGAGGAUACUAUAUGGCAAUGGCAGCUGGGACAAUUGUUGCAGAAGAUCUAACCUUAACUGGUUCUAUCGGAGUUGUCACAGGUAAAUUAAUAAAUAUCUGCAACGAAGAAAGAAUAUGUUGAAAUGUGCAAUACUCUCUCCCUGUUUUGUUUGUUUUCUUUCUUAUAUUUAUCUUUUGUAAAACUGCUGUAGACAAAGGAUUUAGUUAAGUUAUUUUAAAAUUUCUCCAAACGGAGAGAACCCAAGUCUAGGAAUAACCUAAAGCUUUUGGAAUUUCUUUCCCAAGGUAAAAUUUACCAUUGAACUUCCUACCUUGAAGCAACUUAAAAGAUUUAUGGUCCAACCUACAAGAGCAAGGACAAAGGACCGAAACACCAUGGUUGCCUACGCUUGCCUAUCUAACCUUGGACCUGUUGGGAUUCUAUCCACGUUCUUGAUUUCAAAUGGGGGGAAUGGAUGUAUGCUUUAGAGUGACAAAUCUGGACCAAAGCCAUAGUUGUAGUCAAAGUUUCCAUCGAUAUCCCCCCCUCCUCUUCCAUCCUUUUAAAUUGUACCAACUUAUUUAAUAGGAAAGACAAAUGAAUUCCCUCACCUGCAUCAUUAAAAAUCAAAAGAUUUAAUAGGAAAGACAAAUGAAUUCCCUCACCUGCAUCAUUAAAAAUCAAAAGAUAAUAGAAGCAGUAUUGUUUUUGUAGUUGUACAUCCUCGGGUGAAAUCUGUUUGUGUUAUCGUGAACUUUGGUGUUGAUGAUUUAUUUUGGCUGUAGGGAAGUUUAACUUGGGGAAACUAUAUGAAAAGAUUGGCUUUAACAAGGAAAUCAUUUCAAGGGGAAGGUUUGCUGAGCUUCUUGCGGCUGAACAACGACCUUUCAGGUAAAAUAUUUCUCAAGAGCAAAUAGAAUUGUGGUAUCCCAUAUUAAUUGUCAAACGAGGUAGACGUGACCAAUAGGUGUAGUGGGUACCGAGUCCAUCGAUACUCUGACAUUAGAAUUUGUUGGGUUCAACCACAUUAAUCAUUCUUCCAUGAAAUACCUUAAAUAAAUUAUGCUUGAACUCAAAGUUGAAAUUGAACGAAUUUUCAACAUGAAUUUUAGUCGCUUUCAGGCAUCCAUCAAAACUAGUAUCCUGAUUUACGAUUCACCUCAUCUUACCAAAUAUGCCUGCCUCAUUUUUACAGAAGAAGCAAAUAUAUAUCACGAUUCACACUACUCACCAUUGACUAUUUAGUACUCUGUUUUACUUCAUUUACAUCUUGCAUCCUUUUUUCGCCAAUAAUAAAAAGGUCUUAACAUCUGAUACGGUUUAGAAUUAGAUCAAGUCGUUUAAUUUUUCAUUCUUAGUGCUUCUUCCCAUCAAUAAUUAAAGGUUACCAGUUUCUGAUCAGACCGGAUGAAGCAGAACUCUUUGCCAAAUCUGCACAAAAUGCGUACAAGCAAUUUCGGGACAAAGCAGCCUUUUCCAGAUCUAUGACUGUAUGUUGUUCAUCAAGGAUCUCUUUCUUUCUUUUUUUCUUUUGUUAUUUCUAUGAAUUUGUCAUUUUAAUGUCUUAAUACCUAAUAGGUGGAUGAGAUGGAGAAAGUUGCACAGGGAAGGGUUUGGACCGGUAAAGAUGCAGCAUCCCGUGGUUUAGUGGAUGCUAUUGGUGGCUUUUCUCGGGCUGUUGCAAUAGCAAAACUAAAAGCCAACAUUUCUCAAGACAGCCAGGUUCAAUUUUUUAUUAAAUUUUUCAUUAAAUUUUUCUACCACUUGUUUCUUUCCUAAUUAGAAUUAAGAUUUGUUUGGAAGAAUAACUUUCUAAAAGAAAUGUUUUGAAGUCUUGUUUUGGUAUGCCUUCAAUCGGUUAUCUGGCAUUUCGAAUAACUAAGAACCGGUCUCACUAGAGUUUAGAAUGGUACAUUGUAUAUAAAACCUCUAAUCCCACUAGCUACUAGUGCCCCAGCAAUUUGUAUUAUAUGAUAUUCCUCUCUAUUAGUAAAAUUAGUCUUCCUCUUUCGGUAGAUGUAGCUAACACACUCUUGUUUGGAAGGUUGGAAUGUAGUGGGUUUUAAUAUCAAGUCCAUGUUUGAAUUGAGAGCCUUGGGCUCGAUUUGUAAUCCCUAUUAUAUUCUCUUGCCACCAUUUUCAGCCCGGCCAACCUUCUUUCCCACCAUUUUCACUCUUCAGGAUUACAUUCCAACCUCCCAAACAAGCUAGUAAACCAUGCAAAUCUGUAUACCAAUUUUAUCGUGUAUGUCUUUUACACUUUAUUUGUCAAUUUCAUAACCUUCAAAGAAAAAGUGUUUUUCGAACUUUUAAAAGUCAUUCUAAAGAGACUCUUGUGUGAGUAGGUAUUUUGUUUCUACUCGAGAAACUGAUUAGUGUCUUUUUUUUUCUCUUUUUCCACCAUGGUAAAAAAAGGUUAAUCUUGUGGAAUUAUCACGACCGUCGCCAACGCUACCGGAGAUACUAAGCGGAGUAGGGAGUACAAUUAUUGGAGUUGACAGGACAAUGAAGGAUCUGCUCCAAGACCUUUCUUUGGGAGAAGGAGUCCAAGCUCGUAUGGAAGGGAUUAUGCUGCAGAGAAUGGAGGGAUUUUCUUAUGGUAAUCCCAUACUUAAUUUCAUUAAAGAUUACUUCACUUCCCUCUAACCUUUUUUGGUGCCGUUAUUAAAACCCAUAUUUAAUUUCUCAAUUCCCCAUUAUUUGGAACAUACUCUUAUGAUACGAUAAUAGGAUGUCCCAACUAAACAAGAAAUGUAUAGAUAGAUAAUAUAUGUCAUUUGAUUUAAUAAAUUAGCAUCUUUUCCAUGCAUAAAUAUAGUUUUGUUUUCCUUUUUACCUUUUUUUUUUCUUUAUACUUCUAAAAUUUGAGGUUAUAUCAAUACAAAUCUCGAACUAAUAAUUAACCAUAUAUUGUUUUCGACAUUUUCAAAUAUAGUAAAAUAAACUAAAAUAUUCACGUGCUAUAACAAAAUUUUGAAUUUUAUAAAUGAUAAAAACCGAUACACUUCUAUCAUUGUUUAUCAACGUCACUAUAGAAAUAUAUCACUGUCUAUUAUAUUAGUAAUAGAAUUGAAAAUUUAAAUAUUUUGACAAAUUUACUAUUUUUUAUAAUUUUCUUAUUGUUUUUAGAAUUUUGCUAAGAAGGUUGAGAAAAUAAGUACAAUCUUUAAUGAUAGAGGUAUAAUUUAAUCGAUAAAAGAGAAAUUGUAUUAAAUAACAAAAAAGAAUAUUUAGAAAAAAACAGCAGGUUGGCAACUAAUUGGUGAUAUCAGAAGGCUAUUAGAGUAUUAUCUUUUUAAAUUUGUUACUUUUGCAAUUUUGGACAUAAAUAGUUCGUCAAUUCAUCUAUUUUUUAAAAUCCUAAAUAUAUAAUAUAUAUAUUUGAAGCGUAAAAACUAAAAGCAAAAUUAGAUAAGUCCCAACCCAAAUUUCACGUUUAAAAUGUUGUUUGAGAUGUGAAAACAAUGGAGUGUCUUUGGCGAGGUUACAAACUAUCUGUCAAUGCUUAGCCUUUUCUUCAAAGCUUCGAAUAAGAGUGCAUGUAAGACUAGAGAGUGAAUGAGGAAUAGCCGUAAUGUAUAAAAGCCGUUAGUUGAAUACAUGUUUGGUAUUAGAACAAAAAUAGAAAAGAGUAUGAGCACAAACGAAUAACAAGAACAAAAUGCUAUGUAUAGUUUUGUUCAUCAUCUUCACAAAAAUCUAAUACACUAAAUUUUGAACUCAAUACAUAACUGCAUAAGAAAAACUAAAAUACAUGAACGAUUUCCAUCAACAAGCUCUCUUCAAUGGCUGUGGUGGCGCCGCUAUUCUCUGGCUGCCACCGCUCUCCGAUCAUGUAUAAACCAACUCCAACUCCAACUCCACCUCCCACUCCCAUAUCAAUUUUAAAAAAUUCCCUUCUUUCAACUUCAACUCCAAAAUCUUCGUACUUCUUUGUCUCUGCUCGAACUCAAUCCCAUCAAUCUCGAUCCGUCAACCCGGUUUCUCAGCUCUCGCUUCUCGAAGAGAUUUCCAAGCUCUGUGAAGCGGGUGAUCUCAAUGGAGCUCUCGAUUUUCUUCAGAGAGCCUGGAAGAACAAUGCUGGGUAUGAUUUGGCUCAGAGAAAAGAGGCCAUGGGUAUGUUAUUGCAGAAAUGUGGGCAGUAUAAAAACGUCGAAAUUGGCCGGAAACUUGAUGAAAUGUUGUGCGUUUCCUCUCAGUUCAGCGGCGACUUUGUCCUCAAUACCCGUCUCAUCACAAUGUACUCCAUUUGUGGAUAUCCUUUGGAAUCUCGAUUGGUCUUUGAUCGUUUGCUGAAUAAGAAUUUGUUUCAAUGGAAUGCACUUGUUAGUGGGUACGUUAGAAAUGAACUGUACGACGAGGCAAUUCACACUUUCCUUGAGUUGAUAUCGGUAACUGAAUUUCAACCUGAUAAUUUUACAUUUCCUUGCUUGAUCAAGGCUUGUACUGGGAAAUGUGAUAUUCAUUUGGGGAAAUCGGUUCAUGGGAUGGCGGUGAAAAUGGGGUUGAUCAUGGAUUUGUUUGUGGGUAAUGCGAUGAUUGCACUUUAUGGGAAAUGUGGGUUUUUAGACGAAGCCGUCGAGUUGUUUGAUAAAAUGCCUGAACAAAACUUGAUCUCUUGGAAUUCGUUGAUUCGUGGGUUUUCUGAGAAUGGAUUUUGGCUGGAAGCUUAUAGGGCGUUUAGAAGUCUUUUGGAGAGUGGCGAUGGAUUGAUUCCGGAUGUUGCUACAAUGGUAACUCUGUUGCCUGUGUGUUCAGGAGAAGGAAAUGUAGAUGUGGGAAUGGUGAUUCAUGGGAUGGCAGUGAAACUGGGGCUUGUUCAUGAACUAAUGGUGUGUAAUGCUUUGAUUGACAUGUACUCAAAAUGCGGUUGCUUAUCAGAAGCAGCGAUUUUAUUUCGUAAGAUUGAGAACAAAAGUGUAGUUUCUUGGAAUUCCAUGAUUGGUGCAUAUUCUAGGGAAGGAUUCGUAUUUGAAACAUUCGAUCUGUUGAGAAAGAUGUGGAUGGAAGAAGAAUUGAUGGAAGUAAAUGAGGUCACCAUUUUGAAUUUGUUACCUGCUUGUUUGGAAGAAUCUGAACUGUUGAGUUUGAGGGCACUUCAUGGAUAUUCACUUAGACAUUCGUUUCAAUACAAAGAAUUGAUAAAUAAUGCGUUUAUAGCAGCCUAUGCAAAGUGUGGAUCAUUGGUUUUUGCUGAGCACGUCUUCUUUGGAAUGAAUACGAAGUCAGUGAGCUCUUGGAAUGCAGUCAUUGGUGGACAUGCUCAAAAUGGUGAUCCGAUAAAAGCUUUAGACUUUUAUUUUGAGAUGACACGUUUGGGCAUUCUUCCUGACGAUUUUAGCAUUGUUAGCCUACUAUUGGCUUGUGGCCGUUUGGGACUUCUACAAUAUGGCAAAGAGAUACAUGGAUUUGUGCUAAGGAAUGGGUUAGAGAUGAAUUCAUUUGUUGCUGUCUCCUUGUUAUCACUUUAUUUCCAUUGUUCUAAACCUUUCUACGGCAGAACUUACUUUGAAACGAUGGGAGACAAAAACUCAGUGUGUUGGAAUGCGAUGCUUUCUGGUUAUUCUCAAAAUGAACUUCCAAACGAAGCUCUCUCUCUGUUUCGUCAAAUGCUUUCUGACGGACUUGAACCUGAUGAGAUUGCCAUAGCGAGUAUUCUUGGGGCUUGCUCACAGCUAUCAGCUCUUGGUCUCGGAAAAGAAGUUCAUUGCUUUGCCUUAAAAAACAGUCUAAUGGAAGACAAUUUUGUUGCUUGUUCGCUCAUGGACAUGUAUGCCAAAAGCGGCUUUCUGGGACAUUCUCAACGAAUAUUUAACAGGUUAAAUGGCAAAGAAGUGGCUUCAUGGAACGUCAUGAUCACAGGAUUUGGUGUUCAUGGACAAGGUAACAAGGCCGUGGAGCUAUUUGAGGAUAUGAAAAGAUCAGAUAAGCAACCUGAUAGGUUCACUUUUCUAGGAGUUCUUCAGGCAUGUUGUCAUGCUGGAUUGGUAUCAGAGGGGCUGAAUUAUCUAGCUCAAAUGCAAACUUUGUACAAAUUAGAGCCAGAACUGGAGCACUAUGCCUGUGUGAUCGACAUGCUCGGUAGAGCAGGCCGACUAAAUGAGGCAUUAAACUUCAUAAACGAAAUGCCUGAAGAACCAGAUGCUAAAAUCUGGAGCUCAUUGCUCAGUUCGAGUAUAACUUAUGUUGAUCUAGAAAUGGGAGAGAAGUUUGCUGAAAAAUUGUUAGCACUAGAAGCAAACAAAGCUGACAGCUAUAUUUUACUCUCUAACUUGUAUGCAACAGCAGGAAAAUGGGAUGUUGUGCGAAUGGUGAGACAGAAAAUGAAGGAUCUCAGCCUUCAGAAAGAUGUUGGGUGCAGUUGGAUUGAACUUCGAGGUAAAGUCUAUAGUUUUAUAGCUGGGGAAAACUCGAAUCCAAGUUCAGACGAGAUACGAAAGAUGUGGAAUAGAUUGGAGAAACAGAUAGUGGAAAUUGGGUACACACCUGAUUGUAGUUGUGUUCUUCAUGAAUUGGAAGAGGUGGAAAAGAGGAAGAUAUUGAAAGGGCAUAGUGAGAAGGUUGCAAUUUGUUUUGGGUUCUUAAACACUAAAGAAGGAACUACAUUGAGAAUCUCCAAAAAUCUAAGAAUUUGUAGAGACUGUCACAAUGCAGCAAAGUAUAUAAGUAAAGCUGCUAAAAGAGAAAUUGUUAUUAGAGACAACAAGCGUUUUCAUCACUUCAAAAAAGGGAUUUGUUCAUGUGGAGAUUACUGGUAAAAGAAGAAGAAGAAGAAGAUCAUUACUGUUUCUUGAUUCUUCUUCAAGAUUUAAAAUCACCCCUCCCUUAUGGUAAAGUUAUUUGCUUUAAGAUAUUAAAUUGAAAUUUGAUUUAACUUAAAUUUACUUUAAAAUCAUAGAGCUAACUGAAAAUAAUUUCAAUAUCAAUUUUUUUAUCAAUGGGUUCCUAAGGAAACUUCUUCCCAUACCCAUCAAUCUAUAUUGGGAGGACAAUGGAAAAAAGAGAAAUUGCAUUAGCAAAAUAUCAAUAAUGACUUCAUUUUUUUUAAUUUUGCUUGUAUACCAAAAUUCACCAAACUUUUUAUAGGUUUUAGAUUCACCCAAUUAUUGUAUUUAUAAAGUUUUAGAUUUUCUCUAAAAAAAAAACUAUAGUACACAAGAAAAACCACCCUUCCUUAUUAUUAUUUUUUUUUUUUUCACUUUCUUUUUAAAAAGUGGACAAAAUUUUCACUGACCCAAUUUUUAAAUUUUUUUUUAACUAAUGUAAUAAUAACUUAAAUCUAGAUUUGCAUCUGAGAGUUUUACAAAAAUAGCAAAAAAAAAAAAAAAAUUAUGAGGAUAUUUUUGGUUUAGAUAUUUAAUCAAUCAACAAAUAAUUAUUGAAUCUAAAUCAAUCAAAUAACUACAAGUAUGAAUCUAUGAUGCAUUCAAUAACUUUAGGAAUAAUUGGUAUGAUUGUCAAUUAUAUAACAAUAGUAACAAUAUACUCAAAUUCUUAAUAAUUAUAAAAGAAAAAUUGUAAGGUGAUAGCAAUCGAUUUUAUUUGCAAUUAAAUAAGAAACUAAUCAAAUAUUUCAAGAGAUGAGAGAAAUUUUUGGUAGCACUGUUAUUUAUUUCUCUUACGAUUCGAAGUUCCGUCGUCUAUUUGCUGAUAUGAUUCGCCGUUGGGAAAUCGAGAAGAUAGAAGAGUGAUUUGAAGAGCGGCAUGCCGUCCUCUGCAUCAGCUCCGGCCUCUCCUCCGUCGGCCUCUCUUUCACAGAAUUCUGCUACCCAACCUUCCCCUCGGAAAAAUUUGGUAUGUUUUUCUUCUUUACUCUCUCUCUCGUUCUUUUUCUGGGGCUUCUGUUGAUUCUUCUUGGGUUUCAAUCUCUUCCAAGGCUGAGGCUGCAAACAAUAAUGACGGACUUUUUAAUGCCGAGGAGAAGAAACCCGAUUUGUCAGAUCAAUUUGAGUAUGCCCUUUUCUUUUUCUUCCUCUGUGGCUUGGUUUCAAGUUUAAGUCGUUACUGUUUCUUGCGAUCUUUUUGAUGGUUUUUCCUCUGAUUUGUUUGAAUAUUGGACGAGGGAAAUGUAUUGAUUAUGUAAAUUGAAAUUGCUUUUGUACUCUGUACUCUGUUUUUUGUUUUCGAAGGGAAGAAGAUGAAAAGAGUUCGUAAUCGAGCUUCAUAGUUAUUUUUUAAAAAAAAAAAAAAAAAAAAUCAAUCCCUUGUAUGAAAAAAGAGAUGUGUGGAAAACCCUAGUUCGUUGUUUGCGUGAUCUCCAGUUUUAAUCGGAACUAAUGUUGGUGGAUAUCAUCAAUGAAAGUCAAAAUUCGAAAGAUUCGAUUUUUCUCAAGCGUAAGGAUAUAAAAUUACUACAAAUGGAACCUCGGAGAAUUUAUUUUAUUUUUCCGUUUUUGAAUUUGUAGUGCUCGUUCUUAGAAUGGUAGGACGUUAAAAUGAGACAGAUGUUUGGUCACUAACUUCCCCCUUUUUUUUCCAAAUAAGAUAUUGAAUCUCAUUCAAAGGGACAAAAUAGAUUACCCAUAAAACUAAGUUGUGAUUGGUUAGAUAUUGAUUAUUCAAGUGUGUGAGACAUCAUUGUCAGAUUAGUUCUGAUGGGGAAUUUUCUGUUGCUCAUCAUUGAAAUUUGAAAGGCUUAACAGUCAGUCAGUACUUGCUAUCUAGUUUAUUAAUACUUGACUGAACUGAAAAUCAUCGAAUUAAGUCAAGAUAUAAACAAAAACCACCACCAAUGGAAGCUGGUUUUUCUUCUUUUUUUCAUUUCUCACUCUCAUGAAAACUUAGUUACAUCAACUGCUACAUGUUUGAAAUUGCUCUCUUUGUUAGCUCUCAUAUGGAGACUGCCUAUUGUAUUACCAUCAGUUAGACUUCUUGUUUAGUGAAAUAUGGGAAGGAGACAAUUUAGUGGUGAACUUUUCUUUUUCUCAAUUACCCGAGGUGUUUAUGGCCUCCACUCUCCCUUAUCUAUCACUCUAUGGAGAGACGUCCCCUAUCUGGCCUUCUCCUGCAGAGAAAAAUAUUUGUGUACUGCCUUGUUUAAGAACUCUUAUUUGCUUGCUUCCUAUGAUCUAGAUUCUAUAUAUUGAAUGUAUGUCAAUAGUCUCCUUUGGACCUUGUGACUUCAAGAACUAAAUUAACGAGAAUUUGUUCUCCUUCAGAUAGUGAUAGUGGCUCAAUGUCGUGCUAUUUUCUUUAUUCUUUCCAGAGAUUUUGAUAAUUUCACUUCCAUUGAGAAGUACCAGAAAUAUGAAGCUGACUACGCUCAACGCCUAAUGGCCAAAUACUUCUCCAAGAAAAACCUCUAUGGAGGUAGGUACAAAUGGCCCUUUGCUUCUUUAUCAAUUUUAUCCCAGGCUCUAUCCUCUUUUCCUGUUCUUACAAUCUCAUAAUAUUUGAUAUGAGCAGAAACCAAAUCAAAUCAGUUUAAAACGAUAGCAUUUUAGAAGAGUGUCCAUUGUAAAAAGAACUAGCAAUUGUUAUUCUAGAAAUACCAUAUCUUGUUUGUUCUUUUAAUUUUCUUUUUCCAUUAUUUGUGACCAAAAACAGUUAAAUACGUUCAGAAAAACAAUUAUUGAUGCCCUCAUUCCUUCAUAUGGAAACAUCCACCAUUUUGCAGGAAACAUCUUUGAAGAGAACACAACAAUCGACAACGAGAUUAUAAAGUCGAGCAAGUAUAUUCAAGAACUGGCUUUCAUAUAUCUUUGUUGUUUGUCAUUGUUAUUGAUCAUCAUGAGAUAAAUUAUGUAUGAAUCUAUGUUAUACAGGUGGCCUUGUACAAGGUCUUUAGCUGAUCCUUUGCAGGGUUUUGAAGAUCAUAGAAGCAGCUGUUCAACAUCCGCCAUGGAAAGCCACAGCGCCAUCUCAAAUGGGAAGCAUGCUGUGAAGAAGAAUGGAUGAUAUAAGAUGAAGUCUGGGGGUGGGACUGCAGGAUUUCGGGUAAAUUGCAAAAACCAUACCCCCUUUAACUUUUAAGGGUAAAAAUCAAGUCCUCAAACUUAUACAAGUAUUUAAAUUAAACUAUAAAUGAUAAAAAAUUGAACUCUCAAACCUAAAUAAUUGUUAUAGUUUCUACAAUUACGUGAGGAUGAGAAUCCAUUUUGCUUACUUAUAUAAGUUUAAGGACUCGAUUUAUGCCCUUGAAAAUUUAAAGGUAUAUUGCAACCACUCCUUUUUAACGGUAACAAAUAACAAAUAUUCGCACUUAAAUUACAUUGUCUCGAUUUUAACUUAAACAAGAAAUCAGUGAUUGCCAAUUAUUCUUGGCAUGUAUUAGCCACUAGGAGCAGCAAAAUUUAACAUUGAUUUGUAUAAGAUACUUUUCAUACCCAAAAUUUGAUUAAGGUAUAUCCAAUCUACUAGAGAGUUCGUUGCUUAUGAAAAUUUGAAUGUUCAAUUUGUUUGACCUAUGCUCAUCUUGGAAUGGCGAAAGGUUGAUAAAUAUUAAAAUAUGUUACAAUAUCUAAAUUGAUAUGAAUUUAAGAGUAUAGAUUAAAUCAUUUUAAAUCAAAGUUUGUGGACUAAUUAUUUUUGUGAAAAUUGAGGAACAUAAGUGAUCUUCAACUAUUUAUAAGAGAAAUAUAUAAUUGAGGUUAAACUAAAAGUUUGGUAUUUUUUAGAAUUUAUUACAUAUAGUUUAUAACUAAAAUUUAGUUAUUGUAGUUUAACAAAAUGGUUAAAUCAUAAAAAAAUGUCAUUAAAUUUGUAGUUGGUGUAAAUACUCUUAAAUUUUCAAAAAUUUAAAAAAGAUUCCAAGUUAGUUUUGAAUGAAAAUUGUUAAAAAUUUGUUUUGUUGUAAAAAUAUCUUGAACUAUCCAAAAGUUUCGUAAGUAUUUUUGAGCUAAAAAUAAAUUAAAAAUACCCAUUGAUUCAAAAUUUACGCUAAUCAUCUCACCCACCUAAAUUUUAAGUUAAACGUAUAAUUUUAAAUUUAUUUGACUAUUAGCCAAAUCAAUUGUUGACCAAUUAUUGUUUUAAAAAGUUCUAUAACAAUUUUUUGUUUUGAAAUUUUAUCUUUUAAACGGUUUAAAAUGUAGAUGUUGAUAAAAACAUCAAUGUCUUUUAUUUUACCGAAUUGCAAUUGAUAAAUAUUCAAAAGAAUUAUUCAAGCGAGUAAAUAAAUAUUUUAUGGUUUUCAAAUAUGUUUAUUCGUUGUAAUUAGUGUACUUUUCUACUAUUCAAAGACAUUAAAUUCAUGAAAAUGUAAAAUUAUCGAUGUAAAUUUAAACUAUGAUUUUAACUAAAAAAUUUAGUUUUUAUUUUGAAGGUAUUUACGAAACUUUUCAAAGUAUUUUUUAAAAUAAAAUUUUAGUAGUUUCUAUCAAAACUAGAGAAAAUGUUAUUUUGAACCAUUUUCAAAGGUUUAAAAACAUUUUUUAAACGGUUGAAAGUUUAAGAAUAUUUCUAAACAUAAUUUAGCCUAAAUGAGAAAUGUCACUCUUUCUUGAAAAAAAAAUUGAACCACAAGGUCUAAUUCUAAUUUUCAACACCAAAAUUGCAAUUUAACCAAGUAGUACUUGAGAUUCUAACUAAAAAAGUGGGUAUGAACCCAAAUUGUUGAAGUCUAAGGGAACUAUAAAUUCUUGGGACUCAAAUAGUAUAAAAUAACUGUACAUUCUCAUUGCAAUCAAAAAGUUGAAGGUCAGACAGUUUAAUAUAAUUACAUUAACAUCUAUUUCUUAAUUCCUACCCUCAUAAUUUACACUGGACUAAUCUUCCUAUGCAUUCUAAACAACAAUUUCAAGUAUCAAAAAAACCAACAAUGUGGCUUAAGAUCAACCGCCUCUGAAUUGAACAAUAUAGCCCAACUCUCUAUAUAUAAUGUGAAUAAUGUUCUAUUUUAGAGAAGAAAAAAAAGAACUACUUACUUGAUUGAUGACUUCAAGAACGGAUUUACGGGACGAUUAGAAGUAACUUGAUUUACACCUCCUGGCUUCACAUUCUGAUUAUUAGAUGACUUGAAAUGUUGAUUGGUUUCAAGGUUGGAGUCUACCUUACUCAAUGACACUGCUGCUUUUGUGGCAUCUGCUACAUUUGUGUUGUGCAUUUUUGAUAUCUCAUUUACCCCUGAAGUUUGCUUAUCUUCGGCUUUUCCAGACUCGAACUUUGCUCCUUCAGACUUUUGUUUCUUUGUAAACAAAGGUGCAGAGAGUAUUGGAGCUUUGAGUGUGGAUGGGAGAGUAAAUUCUGAAGUUUUGGCUUUAGGUGAAAUUGGAGCAUUAGGUAAGACAGAUCCAUUGCAAUUAGGUCUUGAAAGGGUGGUUUCUACAAUCCCUUUAGUUUCAUUAAGCAACCUUUCCUGAUAUUAGGAAGAAAAAAAAUAGAAGUUCAUGAUGAGCAAAGACGUAUAUAUAAAAAUGAGACCCCAUUGCUGAGACUAAAAGAUUUUUAAGGCCGUUUGUCAUACCUCAAGUAUUGCAUUGAAACGUUCAGCUAAGUUUGGAAGUUUCAAAGCAGUAACUAGCUUGAUUGCACCCUUAACUGAUUUCUCCAGUGACAAAAGUUUUACGAGUUCGGUAGCCCUGACAAGUUUAUCACCUGGAAAAAUUCACCAAUGGUCCGUUAGAUGAAAUCUCAGAUCGUUAGUUUUAGUUCCUUGUCAAAGGCAAAAGUCUCAUAGGAAAAUGAAAUGAAAGCUACGUAGACGUCAAAGUAAGUUGUGAAUCCCAACCGUUGCAGCAGGAAGCAAUGAGCCUUAAGAUGCAUCUGUCUUGAGCAGCUUCAAUACUGAAUGCCUCAUCAUCCAGUUCAGUGUCGUACAAUCCACGUAAUGCCAUUUCUUCCAUUGUGCCAUGGAUCUGUAGUGUACACUCACAUUACUUAGUAAAAGCAUAUCAAAAGAGACGUAUAUUAGAAAGAAAAGUGAAAGAAUAUAUCAAUUAUCAAAGAGUAGCUCCCAUUGCUGAGAAUUUCCACGAUAACUGACAUUGAUAUAAAUGAUUACCUUGAGUAGCCAUAGACAGCUAAAAGCUAUAAAAUCGGCUCAAGAUUGGAAAGUAAUGGACUGACCUGUUUGAGAUACAUAUCAUUCAUCAUAAACUCAUUCUCAAGUGCUUCUGCGCCCAGGUCAGAGAGAGCGAGAGGAAAUGAAAGGUUCAGCAGAGUAAGAACAGGUUUAGGUGUCACCUGAGGCAGAAAGAAAUUAGCCUCAGCAAUAAAUAUUGGGUAAAUGAGUUUUUAGAGGGAGGAAGUUAUCUGUGUUACCUGUGGGUAUGAGUCGGGAUUUUUGCAGAUCACACAGAACAACUUGUUAGCGUUCAACCCAGCCACCCAAUAGUUUUCAUCCGACUUUCUCUCUUUGCUGGCACUGCACAACAAAUCGUAAUUUCAGAAAGGAUGGCAAAAAGGUAGGAGGUCACUUUUACUUUUAAUGGAUACACAGAGAAAAUUGUAGGCUGUAGAUCAACCUGAAUAAUGGUACCCAACUGCCACCAUAUUGAUUCGUAAACACUCUGAGUACACCCUAUAAAUGUAUAUAGGAAAAUAAGAUCCGUAGUUUGCAAUAACCAACAGAAACAUCAAUAAAGUUACUUGACAGCAGAGCUAGUGUACCUUGGAAUCAUAUGAACUCAAUUUUCCUUCUUCACUAAAUCCGAACCAUGUGAGAUAUGAGCCUGGAGUUAAUGGCAAACGUCCUCUUAAGAGCUGUGUUCCAUUAGAAAUGUUUAAUAUUCUGAACUCUAGAACCUGCAUAUUUAAAAUGAACUUCACGUUAGAAAUUACACCUUCCAGAUUAUAAAUUCCACCUACCACCAAAACUUUUACUGACUACCACCAUGCUGCUUCAUGUUAUAAAUGGUGCUAAAACCAUGCUCACUCAAACCAAUAACGACUUUCCAAAUGUCCAAUAGAAAUAUUUUAUACUAACAAUAUAACAUCAGUCAUCCUCACCGUAGAUUCCAUAAAUCAAUCGUGCUCCAAAGAAAAGUAUAAUUGAGUACUAACCUGGUCAUUUGAGGGAAGACAUGUUGAAGAAUGCGUCACAAAUGCAAGUUCAUCCUUGAAGCCAGACGCAGUCACCACUGGCCCAUCAAGGGAAAGAAUAUGUUUCUGCAAGGAAAUCAUUCACCAAAAUUACUAUUUGAAUUAUCAAGUACAACCUCAUCAUCUUUCUUGAAUUUGGCUAGACCCUUUCACUCAAUAAUAUUCAGAAGAGAAAUCAAUGGCUUUAGAGAGAUUUUAUAGUUAUUUAUAACUCAUAAUCAAUGAAACAAUUGGCAUUUAACUCAAGUUCCUAGCUUCAUAAAGCUAACAAACAAAUGUAUAUCCAAAAUGAGAUCAUUGUUUGCUGCAAUCAGAAACAUCUCUCCCUGUUCACUGUAAUAUAGCUUCUUGUAGUUGUAAUAUUUUUCUUAAAUUGCUAAAAGAAGUUUUCAGACAAUGUGAAACACUCAGAAUACUAUAUUUAAGUUGUAAAAAAGGUGGAUAGGUUGAAAAUAUGGAACUAGUUAAGCAAUCUACCCAACAGACCUGUAAACCACCAUCUGUGAAGACGCGAAGAUAACUAAGACUAGUAAAUGCAGCCACCCAUCUGCUACCAAUUGCAACAACCUUAACUUCUUCUCCAUCGAAUCUCAUAGACCACUGAUUUUUUACAGUAGAUAUCCAAGUCAGUAUAGUUUUGUAGUCAUAUGGAAUUUGGAAAGGUAUAUACAAGAUAUAAGAACACAAAAGUUGCAUUAUUAGUACGAAGGUGAGAUACUUGUAAACUAUAAUUGAAAACAUUUUAACCUCACUGUUAUUUGCCCAGCUACCAAACGGGCGAUACAUUAGAGUGCUCAUAUUCUUCUCGCCCUUACAAGGGUUUGCAAAGACACUGCCAUUUUCAUCCAGUGCAGCCAUUGUAAAACCAAAAUGGUCAUUCAUUGAAGGAACUCGUGGGCCGCUUCCAGUGUCAUGAAAAUCUAUCUGAAAAGGGAUGGCACCAGUCAUUUAGAACACAAUCAAAAUUGUUUCAUGUCACCCAUGAAUGUGAUUGUUUCAUGCCACCCAUGAAUAUGAUUUCUACAAGUGUUAUAGCACAUACGUCCUGGAUAGAGCAAGUGACAAUACGGCAGAAACAUAAUAGGUUUAAGUUGAAGGGUUCAGCAUUACCUCUAUGUGGGAGUACCCAUCAUGUUCAAAAGUUGUUAUACUUCCAAGCAUAUUGUAACACAGAAAGCGUUUUUUUCCUGGCUGCAAAGGAGUUGCUCCGGGUUGAAAUGCUUCUUGUUGUUUCACUCUACUAUACGUUGCUUUGCCUAUAGCUCCUUCAUCGACAUUAUCUAGCUUAUCCCUUUUAACUCGAUGUGAUGUUUUACGAGAGUCCAACUUUGGGAACAAGCUAAAAUCUUCGCUAUCGACCUCAUCCAAGAUUUCGUCAUUUGUUGAAUGUUUGCGCAACCUUUUUCGAGUCGGAAUUUCAGAUUCAUGAUAGCUAUCUUCUCCAAGGUCACUAGAAUUCUCAUGCGCACUAGGCUCCUCAUCCUCUUCAUCAAACAAGAGGAGGCCGUUGCUAUUCCUUGAUUGCAAUUUUGGAAUAUCUUCAGUUGGAGGUUUCAUAGAAGAUGGAACAACUGAUUCCCAGACCCCAUACUUACCCAUGACAUCAAUAACAGCCAAGGCGUUGCCAAUUGGCUUCCAAGCCAUGCAACAUAUUCUUUCAUCAAAUUUUUGUCUAUCAAUAUCCAACUUCUGAUCAACAUCCCAUAUCAGAAUUUGCCUAUCCAAUGAAGAAGUAGCCAUGUAUUUGCCAUUUGGUGACCAUGAUAAGAAACAAAUCGGCUGAGUGUGAUCUCCCCUCAAUGAAAACAGCUUUUCAGCAGUAUCUCUAUCAUACAUCACAACAUCAUUUCUUAAACCAGGGACUGCUAACGUCUCUCCGUCAGGGCUCCAGCCUAAAACAUUCAUAACGGAAGGAUCCGAACCUGUGUUUGGAGCUAUGCCUUUGAGGUUAUGUAUUAUACUUCCAGAUUGAAGUUCCCAUAUAAUUACAGUUCCAAUCGAAUCCACCGACGCCAAAUAUUCACUAUUAGGGUCAAACGCCAGUCCAGUAACGGCUCCUUUAUGUCCUUUCAAAACUCUCGCAAUUGAACCAUCGACUGUAUUAACUAGCUUAAUACCAUCAUCAUCUCCACCAGCUGCCAGGAGGCUUCCAGACUUAUUAAACCCAAGGAUGCGUAUUGGCAGAGUAAACCUUGUAAUAUUUGUCUCAAAUUCUCCACCUGCAAACCAUUUGCCUCAUAAAGUUAACAGGAAUAACAUUUCCAAAGAAUUAAAAAGUCCAUAAGCCGACCCCUAAUAUACAUUUCUGAGAGAAGUAAACAAAUCCAAAAGAAAAUGAAAUGGCCAGUCAAGAUUUCGACAAGUCUGAUCGUUACGAUUCAAAACCCAAAAUUAAUUGAAGCAGUUCGCAGAAAAACCAAAGGAAUCAUGUAUAAGCAAAUGCAAGAUAAAUUACCGGGAAACUUGUAGAGUUUGACAGAUCGAUCCAUGGAUCCAGAAGCGAGACAAGUAGAAUUAGGGCUAAGAGCCAGCGCGGUGACCCCUUCACGAUGUUGAUGAAUGAUUUUGGGAGUAGUGGAAGGAAGAAGAGAAUCAUGGAUGGAUAUGGCGGAUUCAGAAGAAGAAGCAGUGACGAUAUGGUAGGCUUGUUGAUCCCAGAGGACAGAGCAGAAGGAAGGUUUGCCAUUGCUGGCGGCUUUGUGGGCUUCCCGGAGCUUCACCGACCGGAUUUUCAUAGCUGCUAACAGUGAAUUUCUUCCGAUAAACAAACUGAGUAUCUUGCGAUGAAUUCCUUUCGGUGGUUUUUAUUUCUUCGUCUCUCUCUUUUUUUCUUUGGCGGGAAAUUUGAGGAAUACAUUUUAGACUUCGCGGGAAACAGCUGCGAGAAUUAGGUCUUGAAACGGUACGAUAGUAAUGGGCCUUUCCCUUUGUGUCUAAUGGGCUUUUGGACGAACUAAGCGUCUAACCCCAUUGAAAUGGCCCAAUAUAAGUUUUUGGCCCGUAUUUUAAUAACGGUCUUUUCAAAAAUAGAAAAGGUGGGCAUGAUGGAAAUUGCAAUCGAUGAUCAUUUUAAGAAUAAUAAUUAAGGAUAUAGCAACAUUUUAAAAAAUGAAAAAUAUAUCAAAACUAUCACUGCUAGACUUGUAUUAGACCAAUAUUUGCAACAUGGCCUAUCGAUGAUAGACUUAUAUCAUUUAUAUCAUUAGUAGAAUUUGACAAAUUUUGUUAUAUUUGCAUUUUUUUAAAAAUGUUGCUAUAUACUUAAUUAUUUUGAAUCUAAUUGCUAAAUUUGCAACUAUUCCUAAACUAUUUAUAUUCUAUAGAACAAAACCACCCAAAAAUAAAUUUUAUUAAACUUGAUUUUGCUAUGAAGUGUAAAUAUUUUGUCAAAAUAUUAUAUUUUCUACGACUUUUCUUUUAAAAAUAAUUUUUCAGAUUAAAACAGUUUUUACAAACUGCAAAAGAUGACGAAAUAGAGUGGUUGUCACGAAUUAAAAUCGAGCUCACAAACUUAUGUAGGUGUUAAAGUUGUGUUUGUUAAUUUGUAUAAUUAAAACUACCACCAAAUUAAUGCAAUUAGUAUUUUCAUUUUCUAAAAACACUUUUGAUCUCUAAACUUUUUACGUGAGCAACCAUCUAGUCCUUUUACUUUAAAUUUUAUAACAAUGUAGUUGUUAAUCUCUAACAAAUAGCAAAUAGUUUCUAUAAUUUAAAAAUUGUUGUGGUUUGAUUACUAUAUAUCGUGAUAAAAACUAGUCGAUGUUAUGGACUACAUUUACAUUUUGGGCUGUUGAUGCCAGAUUUUGACCAAGCCAAGUAUGUUUGAUCUCCAUAAAGCAAUAAUUAUAAAUUUGUAUUUAAAGGGUGAAGAUAUUAUUUGCAAGUAAAGAGAAAAAUUGGGCACUGGUCCGAUGUAAAUCACAAACACUCUAAUACUUAAGUUAAAAGACCUAGAGAUAAAAAAAAAAAAAAAAAUUGAUAUCGAUCUAGACUUACUCUCUUGCAUUCCUAUGCCUUAUUCACAAGCUCAAUCCUCAUCUCAUAUUCCUUGUCAAGCAGGUAAUUAUGCAUGUUUGCUUCCAAUUGAGGCCAAUUGGCCCUUAAGAAGCAUUGACACUCCUAAUCUGGCGAAGUAUCGAUGUCAGACACAUUUAUGACAACUACACACCCUAAGUCAUCUUUGACAUGUGAUGUUCUUUUCUUGUUCUUUUUUUAAUUUUCGGACACAACUCCGACGACCAAGACAUGGCCAGACACAAUUGGAGGGAAAAAAACCCUAGAAACGACCCAUUCUCCCAGCAUGGCAAUAUUUUAUUAGGUUUAUUUCUUUUUUUAAAGAAAUUAUUAGGUUUAUAAGUUUCUUCAUAUUCACGCUUCUAUGAUUCUCCCCACCAGACCACCAAUCGUCUUUACCCUAACCCUCUCGUCAGUUAUCGUCACCGCCCAUCUCUCCCAUGGGUUGCGCUGAAGUUUUUAAUUACUAUGCUAAAAUUUGUUAUGUUUUAUGGCUCUUAACUUGUUGUUUUGAUGUUUUUAAUUGGAAUCAUUGUUAUGUAAUACGCUUAUAUGCAUGAUAUACAUUUAAUUUUUUUACUAAAACUCGACGUGUCAUGUCUUACUUCUUAUGAAAAAUGGUGUAUCGCGCAUGUCAUAAUCUAUGCUUCUUAGAUGGUUCCCAACAUUAUUACCUAAAAAAAAUAACUUAGAGUGUAAUCUCCUUUUAGCCUAACCUAUUUUGGGAUCAUAGGCUUUUGGGACUUGACAAAGACUCAGCCUUAGGGUUCAGUUGAGGUCAACCAAUUCUGGUCCAAUUUCAAGCCUACUUCUUCAAUCUUCUUUCUGUUUUGACUCUUUAACUCUGAUUCCUUGAGUCCAUCCUCAACAUGGACUAGUCUUUAAGGUUUAAUUGUCUAGGACUCUCAUUUUUCUAUAGCCCAACUAAUUAAAAUACCCAUCUUCUAUCCAGAAUAUGAAGUGGUGUAAAACAAAAUAUUGUUGAAUUAAGAGUGAAACAUAUUAUGAACACAUAAUAAGAAGAGAGACACCCACUUGAGGUUGAACAUCUUAAAGGAUAUCAAUAGAGCUUAGUAUUAUAUAUUUGAAAAAUUAAUCACAAUUGAAUUGAGAAAACUGUCAACACCAGAAAGUAAAAAUUGAUAUAAUAUAAGAUUUUAAUUUUCAAAACAACUCUAACAACCAAAAGAUGCAUGAAAUUUGAGGAUUCAAACUAAAAUUUGAACAUAGAUGAUUGUGGAGAUACUGAUUGAGCUUGUUCCUUUAAUUAAAUCACGAAUUUUAUGGUAAAUUAACAAAUUUGCAAACCUCUUGAUAUUUUCACAACGUAUUGUUCGCUCCAGACAUACGCUCUCAUGAUUUUGAGAUCUCGUACCACUAGAGAUAUUUAGAGAUUUGUUGUCCUUAACAAACUGGUAUCAAAGUCAUGAGUCUGUUAUUAGAAUUCUAAGUGGUCGAAACAAGAUGUAGUCACGUUAAAAGUAUUCAUUUGUAGUCGAUGUCUAAACUGUAACAGGACGAGCAUUUCAUGGAGGAUCAGAUAGACAAUUUGAAUGAAAUAAAUAGGUACCAGGAUGGAAGGUUAGAGGCAACACCUCAUGUUAAUGUUGGCAGAGUAAACGUUCAUGACUACAGUUCUAAAAAGUAAAAGUGUUAUCGAAAGGAAAAUGAUAAAUUUGUAUAAUUUAGGGGUAUGGGAAAGGAAGAAUGUGAGGUCCAGCGGCUGGGUCAUAAAAAGAAAAGAUGAAGGAAGGAUCACGUGGCAGAGCACGUGAGCCAAGGAACACGUCAUCAGAAAAACCUUGCGAGUGAGUGAGAGAGAUCCCAAAGGAAAAGAGAGAGAGAGAGAGAGAGAGAGACCCAUACAGGACAGGUCACUAUGGAAAAGCGAGCACAUGCUCCCAGCCCUCCCAAUACCCUUUUUAUUUUUUUAUUUAAUAUAUAUAUAUAUAUAAGGAGCUUAACUAAAGUAAAUUAGAAAAUUACUUUUUUCCACCAUCUAAUCUCUCAUCUGCUUUUCUUCUGGGUGGGACCUGGAGGGGGAGUAGGGUAGGGAAAUAUGCGGGUCCCACGUGGCAGAUUUCUUCCCACGUGACGCCGUCACGAGAAAGGGAGAUGUAGUAGAGAUUCAGAUAUCCCACCGCCCUUUCUCCCUCGCAUGCUCGGCACGUGCCUCCCCCCCGUACUAUCAUUUUCCUGACUCCCCCCACCCCCUCCCUUUUCUCUUUUUCUUUUAUCAAACUACAAUCUUAAUUCUACUUUCCAUUUUCGGGGUUCCUGUUUUUACUUUAAUCCUUUUUUAUAACCGUUUCCCAUUUUCCUUCUUUUUUUUUUUUUUUAAAUUCAACUCAUCCAAAACAACUAAUUUUUUUUAUUGUUCUAAUAUAUAGUUUUAGUCCCUACAUUAUUAUAAAUUUCAAUUUUAGGUUUAGUAUUACUAGAAUUUCACUAAAAUUAUAUUAUUGCAAGAAAAUUGUUGUAAAAAUUAACUUUAAAAAAUCAAACUAUUAUUUUCUAAUAUUAAAUAAUUUAAAAUGGAAGAAUGGAAUUGGUGAUAAGGCAAAAUGUAGGUGAGUUGAACGAAUUGGUGUGUUGGGGAACGUAACGGAAUCCGUUAAGGCCAAACAAACGGGGGAGAGACAGCGUGAAAAGGGGGAGUUUGGUUUAGGUCCCCACCGCACGCGAGGGAAGGAGGGAGAUGAAGGGCAGAGGAUGGGCGCACGUGAGAGAGUUGGGGAGGAUCACGUGCAGUGACCAUGCAAUUAAAACGACAUCGCAUAAUACCCCUAUCCGUUUUCCUAUUCUUAGGGCCUAUAGAAACUUAGGAACCAACGGGUCCCCCUCGCGUUACGCCACUGACAAUUUCCCUCUUUUUUCUUCUCACAUGCCCUCCUUUUUUCCUCUAAUUAAAUUCCCUCCCCAAACCCAUAGACAGAGAAAAAUAUCCCUAUUUAUUUGUAUUUUAAAGUUGGUUCAAUUUUCAGUGAGUAUUUGUUACAUUUUGAUGAUAAAUCACUAUAUAUCUUGGUAGACUAAUGUUUAUAUUGAUAGAUAGUGACAUUUUGAUGUAUUAUGUGUAUAUAUUAAUUUAUUUUAGUGUAUUUAAAAAUAAUUUUAUAUUUAAUAAAUAAAUCCCUACUAGCUCACAUGUUAUAUGGUGGGACUAUAUUAAUUCUUCGCAUUAAUUAUUAAUAUUAUUAUAUUUUAUUUGUGUCUCAAGGUUACACAUUAGAUGACAUGUCAAAAAAGGGAAAGAGGUGAUUUUAAAGAGAAGCUUUGAGGGUGUGGUAUGGGAUAGGCUGUCUACACUUUUUUUAUCCCUAGACAUUCAUAUAAUGUAACCCCAUACACAUCUUUUAAAACAUAAGUUAGACUAAAUCAUUCCCUUCCUAUUUUUAGACUGCUAUAUAAAUUUCACUUUUGGUAUAAAAAAAAUGCAUAGUUUGAUGAUAAGCACUUGACUUGUUGGAAUUUUACGUUUUAAACAUAAAUGUUACUUCUACCUAUAAAUUUAAAAAAUAAAGAAUAACAUAACUAUCUACUUAUCACUUAAAUAAAAGAAAUUGCAUUAAAUGACAAUAAAAUAUUUAGAAAAAACAACUUAUAACACCCAGUUUAAUAUCAUAUAGUAAUUAUAGGGUUAUCAGAAUCAUUAUUUUUAAACUUGCUACUUUUACUAAUUUAGAAAAUGUUUUGACAUAGGCAGUGCUAUCACGAACUAUUUUACUGUUUUCGUAAAAGCACCUGAAAAUUAUUGAAAGGUAAAAUAAAACAAAACAAGUUAUGUAUAUGUGGGUGAUAAUAUACAACUUAAAAGAAGAGAGAGAGAAUUAAAUUUAAAAAAAAAUAAAAAAUUUAAGCCGCUUGAUCUAAUCUACAAAACAACGAACGAUCCUCAAUUUUUUAAAAAAUGAUUUUGGUUAAGGGGGAAAAAAAGGGCAUCGCUUAAAAGAAAAUAAAGUGGGUACUGCCAACGUAGUGUGUUGAGUUGGCCACGUGAUGAAGGAGGAUGUGGUGGGCAGACAUUUUUUAAUCACGUGAUACCUUCCGGAUUAAACGGAGAAAUAGCCACGCGUCCCAUUGACAUGAAAGAGAGUCGUGGCCGUGAGUAUUUAAACUUAUUAAAUUAAUCUUCCAAUUAGGCUGUAAUUAAAUUAAAGUAAUCCAAAGUUUGAUUGGAGAUUAUGCGACAGUCACGCGCUUAUGAUUUGUUAACGGAUCCCUAAACGGAUUCCCUUCGCCAGAGAAUGUUUAUGUUACGGGGGAAACACUCUGUUCUGUUACAAAUUAAUAUUCAUCAUUAAAUUAAUUAAACUCACACUUUUCUUUUUUAAAUUAGUAUUAAUAUAUUCAUUUAAUUUUACUGCCACCUCAUCGAUUUCCUUAAGUCCCGUCAUUUCCGCGGCCGCUUUUGCUGGUUCCCGAUAAUACCUUUCCCCGCUCUUACCGUACCGUUUUAAGAGAGCCUCAUAUAUUCUCUUUUUAAUAUUACUUCGUUAUUAAAUUAUCCAUUUUAAAUUUCACAUGCUUUGUAAAUUGUAGUUUUAAUUUUUUUUUUCAUUUCUUCUAUUUUACUUAAUCUACUUUAAAAUUCAUUUUAUUACGUGUAUUUCCAAAUUUUAUUUAUUUAUUAAAUAAAUUGUCAAAAACAAUACAUUUAAGUAAGAUUUUAGAUGAUAUAAAUAAUAGAUAUUGAUGGACAAAAAUACAAUUUAUUAGUUUUUAUCAUUUAUAAAAUUCAAAAUUUUGUUAUAAUUUGUAAAUAUUUUAGUUUGUUUUACUAUAUCUAAAAGUAUCUAUAUUUUUAUAUAAAUUUAGGCUAGUUUUUUUAUUUGUGUAGUUUGGGCAUUUAGUUAUCAUAUUUUUAUAACAAUAAUUAUAUCAACAAAUCCUAAGUUUAGUCAUUCAAAGUUAAUUUAUGAGCUAUUGAGAUUUAGAGAAAAAAAAACACAAGCUAAUUUCACACCUAAUAUUUAUUGAUAGUACGUGAACUAAAAUCUGUAAAGUGAAAAUACAAGAACACAAAUAGAAUGAAACCAAAAUAUAUGACCAAAACAAUGUUUAAAUGUAAAACAUUAAAAUUUGUCUAGUUUUGAUUUUAGUUUAGAAGUAACUGCAAAUACAAUAAUCGUAAUUAAAGUUGGUCUAGUUGAUUUUAGCUAUAUUUAUAAUUACAACAAAACUAUUCCUAGUUUUCAAAGUCUAUUGAUCAUAUCACUAAUAGCAGUCUAUAAGUGUUAAAGUCUAUCGUUGAUAAAUUUUUUCAUAUGGGCAUUUCUUUUAAAAAAAUAGUUAUAUAUUUAAUUAUUAAUUUUAAUCGUUGCUACUCAUAACAAUUAACUACUAGUUUUGAAAGUGAUGUUCGAUAAAAGUAAUUUUUACCUCAAAAUAAUUUUUUUUUCCUCACAUGACAUUCACAAUCAACUAGUUAAAAUUUUUAAAGGUACGUAAAUGAUCUAAACUAAUACAUCUAAAAGUGAACGCAUUAUGUACGUAUAGACUUCAUUUUCAAUGUUGGUACGUAGUACAAUUACAUUAAAAUAAUUGGUUAACAAGUGAGUAUAAUGAUUGGUUUUACAAAAUUCAUGUAAGUGAUUAAAUUAAUAGGUGUUUUAGAAAAGGAAACAAGGAGGAUAUAAUUUGAUUAAUAAUUAUAAUGUGUGAACUAAUUAAAUUAAAACUCUAGUUAAUUAGAAUAAAUGAUUAGGGAAAGAAGAUCGAUGCAUGAACCUAGCCUAAAGUAUUGAGUGGAUGUUUCUUUGUACGAGAAUCUUUUAAUCACUUUGGAACCAUACGUUCAUGUAGGUUGCAGCCUAUGAUCACACCCCUACCCACCUUGGGACUCUCAAUUGACUUUUUCUUUAUUUUAAACAUCUUUUCUUUUUCAUUUUUUUACUGGCUGAUGAAUGAAUAACUUCAAUUCCUCUAGGUGGUGGAUUUAUUUAAACAUUUAUUAUU
Molecule: long non-coding RNA, 26180 nt
Filed under: Cucumis sativus (cucumber)
Lineage: Eukaryota; Viridiplantae; Streptophyta; Magnoliopsida; Cucurbitales; Cucurbitaceae
Description: long non-coding RNA (CSAT_LNC000046)
Source: RNAcentral